This 487-nucleotide ribosomal RNA is filed under the name uncultured bacterium. RNAcentral describes it as "bacterial SSU rRNA". It matches the Rfam family "Bacterial small subunit ribosomal RNA", at positions 9 to 523 of the family's 1533-position model. The record is from RNAcentral.
GAGUUUGAUCCUGGCUCAGGAUGAACGCUGGCGGCGUGCCUAACACAUGCAAGUCGAGCGAUCUUCUUCGGAAGAGAGCGGCGGACGGGUGAGUAACGCGUGGGUAACCUGCCUCAUACACAUGGAUAACAUACCGAAAGGUAUGCUAAUACAAGAUGAUAUGAGAGAUUCGCAUGGAUUUUUUAUCAAAGCUCCGGCGGUAUGAGAUGGACCCGCGUCUGAUUAGCUAGUUGGUAAGGUAACGGCUUACCAAGGCGACGAUCAGUAGCCGACCUGAGAGGGUGAUCGGCCACAUUGGAACUGAGACACGGUCCAAACUCCUACGGGAGGCAGCAGUGGGGAAUAUUGCACAAUGGGCGAAAGCCUGAUGCAGCAACGCCGCGUGAGCGAUGAAGGCCCUCGGGUCGUAAAGCCCUGUCCUCAAGGAAGAUAGUGACGGUACUUGAGGAGGAAGCCCCGGCUAACUACGUGCCAGCAGCCGCGGUCA